Molecule: ribosomal RNA, 769 nt
Filed under: Acinetobacter lwoffii
Lineage: Bacteria; Pseudomonadati; Pseudomonadota; Gammaproteobacteria; Moraxellales; Moraxellaceae
Description: bacterial SSU rRNA
Rfam family: Bacterial small subunit ribosomal RNA
Source: RNAcentral
GCAGUCGAGCGGGGAAGGUAGCUUGCUACUUAACCUAGCGGCGGACGGGUGAGUAAUGCUUAGGAAUCUGCCUAUUAGUGGGGGACAACAUCUCGAAAGGGAUGCUAAUACCGCAUACGUCCUACGGGAGAAAGCAGGGGACCUUCGGGCCUUGCGCUAAUAGAUGAGCCUAAGUCGGAUUAGCUAGUUGGUGGGGUAAAGGCCUACCAAGGCGACGAUCUGUAGCGGGUCUGAGAGGAUGAUCCGCCACACUGGGACUGAGACACGGCCCAGACUCCUACGGGAGGCAGCAGUGGGGAAUAUUGGACAAUGGGGGGAACCCUGAUCCAGCCAUGCCGCGUGUGUGAAGAAGGCCUUUUGGUUGUAAAGCACUUUAAGCGAGGAGGAGGCUACCGAGAUUAAUACUCUUGGAUAGUGGACGUUACUCGCAGAAUAAGCACCGGCUAACUCUGUGCCAGCAGCCGCGGUAAUACAGAGGGUGCAAGCGUUAAUCGGAUUUACUGGGCGUAAAGCGCGCGUAGGUGGCCAAUUAAGUCAAAUGUGAAAUCCCCGAGCUUAACUUGGGAAUUGCAUUCGAUACUGGUUGGCUAGAGUAUGGGAGAGGAUGGUAGAAUUCCAGGUGUAGCGGUGAAAUGCGUAGAGAUCUGGAGGAAUACCGAUGGCGAAGGCAGCCAUCUGGCCUAAUACUGACACUGAGGUGCGAAAGCAUGGGGAGCAAACAGGAUUAGAUACCCUGGUAGUCCAUGCCGUAAACGAUGUCUACUAGCCG